CUGCCCAAGCUGUGCAGCCUGCGGGAGCUGGGCCGGCGGCCACACAGGCCCUUCGAGGAGCCUACAGGGAACAUGGUGCACGUGAAGCAGAAGCUCUACCACAACGGCCACCCCAGCCCCCGGCACCUGUGAGUGCCCAGGACUCGGGGCUGCUGUGCACAUGUAAAGGGACCUCGUGGACGCCCAGCUGGCAAGAUGGGACUGCGGCCUCAGGCCCAGGGUAUGCUGGGCUGUGGCCAGCUGGGCUGUGGCCAGCAGGCAAAUCCAGUGGAAGGUGCUGUCUCUUCUUUUUAUAAAGGGGGUUGGGUGGGGGCUGGGGUGGGGCUGGCCUCUGGGCUUCAGGGACAGCAGCCUGGUCUCCACAGUGAGCAGGACACAAAGGCAGGCUCUCAGAGGUGCUGGGGCCAGGGGUGGUGGGUCCAUAGUGGGGAGAGGCUUGGCCUGGUCCACACUAGCCUAAAGCCACAUCUCAGUGAAAGCACUGUUUCUUGAGCACCUGUUGUCCAUCCGUCCGUCUGGAGGGGAGGGAUGUGUCAGGGCCUGCGCCCAUCUGCACACGGGAGCAUGUGCAUGGGGCGUGUGCGACUGGAGGGUGGGACUGGAGGGGCGGGCCCCUAGCAGCAAUAAGGAUGUGGUGGCCCCAGGUGUCCCAGCCCUCACUGUGAAGCCCACCCUGCCUGGCCAGUAAAUUCUCCAGAAAGCUCC
Molecule: long non-coding RNA, 705 nt
Filed under: Rattus norvegicus (Norway rat)
Lineage: Eukaryota; Metazoa; Chordata; Mammalia; Rodentia; Muridae
Description: long non-coding RNA NONRATT022931
Source: RNAcentral